UUCAGUAACAAGGAAGUGGUGUGGUUAUGCUGAUUAAGUGUGGCUACAGCUAAGUACUCCUGAGAACUUAUCAAUUUCCAUUCAGCUGUUUCUUAUUAAUAGAAUGAUCCAACCACAGAACAUCAAACCCUCACGUUACAGUGUGGAUACUACUCAAAUGCUGUUACCAGGUUACAGGGAUGACAUACUGACAGUUGAGUAGUGAUACAUGGGUCCAAUUGUCAUCCACCGUGGAGGGCUGAAUAGAGUGCUGAGGAGUUCCCCAUCCAGUGAUGAAGGAGAUGAAGUCAUCAAGGAGCUAACAAAAGACGGGGAUCAGGACAAAAUCCCAUCCCAUGCUCCCAGAUGUGGACCAAACCAAGGUGAAGAGCAGACCUGAUUACAGAUGACAGGCUACGUGUAUGGAGCCUAACAUCGGACUCCCACCAGAUCUGUGUCCAUCUCCGUUCUGCUGUGGUCCAGCUCCCAGCUCUCUCGUCCAUCAACACCCACCGGCUGCGUUUCCAGAAUGGACGAAGAGCAGGACCGCCGGACAGCUUGGGACAUGUGACCAAGGUUUUCCAGUGGUUAUUACUGAAUCCAUGAUUAUCCGACUACUAUCCUCAUCCACAUUGUCUUUAUUGGCCUCUUAAAAACCUCUGACCUGUUAACUCCAGACCUGGCUCUGCUCAUUAUGAUGGUUUGUUGUUGUAGUUAAAUGAAAUGCAAUCUAGCGAUAAUACAGUUUUUUAUUCCGAAAAUAA
Molecule: long non-coding RNA, 743 nt
Organism: Notolabrus celidotus (New Zealand spotty)
Lineage: Eukaryota; Metazoa; Chordata; Actinopteri; Labriformes; Labridae
Exons: 3
Source: RefSeq, a predicted model, not a curated record